RNAcentral lists this small RNA (115 nucleotides) under Marmota monax (woodchuck). Lineage: Eukaryota; Metazoa; Chordata; Mammalia; Rodentia; Sciuridae. The record is from RNAcentral.
GCUAGGCCCAGUGGCCCAGGCCUAUAGUCCAGCUAUGUGGAGGCUGAGGCAGGAGAAUCAUUUGAGUCCAGGGGUUCAAGGCCAGUCUGGCCAACACAGUGAGCUGCCAUCUCAA